RNAcentral lists this ribosomal RNA (492 nucleotides) under uncultured bacterium. Its description in RNAcentral is "partial 16S ribosomal RNA". It matches the Rfam family "Bacterial small subunit ribosomal RNA", at positions 29 to 507 of the family's 1533-position model. The record is from RNAcentral.
AGUGAACGCUGGCGGUAGGCCUAACACAUGCCAGUCGAACGGCAGCACAGUAAGAGCUUGCUCUUACGGGUGGCGAGUGGCGGACGGGUGAGGAAUACAUCGGAAUCUACUUUUUCGUGGGGGAUAACGUAGGGAAACUUACGCUAAUACCGCAUACGACCUACGGGUGAAAGCAGGGGAUCUUCGGACCUUGCGCGAUUGAAUGAGCCGAUGUCGGAUUAGCUAGUUGGCGGGGUAAAGGUCCACCAAGGCGACGAUCCGUAGCUGGUCUGAGAGGAUGAUCAGCCACACUGGAACUGAGACACGGUCCAGACUCCUACGGGAGGCAGCAGUGGGGAAUAUUGGACAAUGGGCGCAAGCCUGAUCCAGCCAUACCGCGUGGGUGAAGAAGGCCUUCGGGUUGUAAAGCCCUUUUGUUGGGAAAGAAAAGCAGCAGGUUAAUACCCCGCUGUUCUGACGGUACCCAAAGAAUAAGCACCGGCUAACUUCGUG